GAUGAACGCUGGCGGCGUGCCUAAUACAUGCAAGUCGAGCGAACAGACGAGGAGCUUGCUCCUCUGACGUUAGCGGCGGACGGGUGAGUAACACGUGGAUAACCUACCUAUAAGACGGGGAUAACUUCGGGAAACCGGAGCUAAUACCGGAUAACAUGUUGAACCGCAUGGUUCAACAGUGAAAGACGGUCUUGCUGUCACUUAUAGAUGGAUCCGCGCCGCAUUAGCUAGUUGGUAAGGUAACGGCUUACCAAGGCAACGAUGCGUAGCCGACCUGAGAGGGUGAUCGGCCACACUGGAACUGAGACACGGUCCAGACUCCUACGGGAGGCAGCAGUAGGGAAUCUUCCGCAAUGGGCGAAAGCCUGACGGAGCAACGCCGCGUGAGUGAAGAAGGUCUUCGGAUCGUAAAACUCUGUUAUUAGGGAAGAACAAAUGUGUAAGUAACUAUGCACGUCUUGACGGUACCUAAUCAGAAAGCCACGGCUAACUACGUG
RNAcentral lists this ribosomal RNA (497 nucleotides) under uncultured bacterium. Its description in RNAcentral is "partial 16S ribosomal RNA". It matches the Rfam family "Bacterial small subunit ribosomal RNA", at positions 28 to 507 of the family's 1533-position model. The record is from RNAcentral.